CGGGGAAUUUUGGACAAUGGGCGAAAGCCUGAUCCAGCCAUGCCGCGUGAGUGAAGAAGGCCUUCGGGUUGUAAAGCUCUUUUAGUCGGAAAGAAAGAGUUGCAAUGAAUAAUUGUGAUUUAUGACGGUACCGACAGAAAAAGCACCGGCUAACUACGUGCCAGCAGCCGCGGUAAUACGUAGGGUGCGAGCGUUAAUCGGAAUUACUGGGCGUAAAGGGUGCGCAGGCGGUCUUGCAAGUCAGAUGUGAAAGCCCCGGGCUUAACCUGGGGAUUGCGUUUGAAACUACAAGACUAGAGUGCAGCAGAGGGGAGUGGAAUUCCAUGUGUAGCAGUGAAAUGCGUAGAGAUGCGGAGGAACACCGAUGGCGAAGGCAGCCUCCUGGGAUGACACUGACGCUCAUGCACGAAAGCGUGGGGAGCAAACA
Molecule: ribosomal RNA, 427 nt
Filed under: uncultured bacterium
Lineage: Bacteria
Description: bacterial SSU rRNA
Rfam family: Bacterial small subunit ribosomal RNA
Source: RNAcentral